UCAGUCGACUCCUACGGGGAGGCAGCAGUGGGGAAUAUUGCACAAUGGGGGAAACCCUGAUGCAGCCAUGCCGCGUGUGUGAAGAAGGCCUUCGGGUGUAAAGCACUUUCAGUAGGGAGGAAGGUAGUGUAGUUAACACCUGCACUAUUUGACGUUGCCUACAGAAGAAGCACCGGCUAACUCCGUGCCAGCAGCCGCGGUAAUACGGAGGGUGCGAGCGUUAAUCGGAAUUACUGGGCGUAAAGCGCAUGCAGGCGGCCUGUUAAGUCAGAUGUGAAAGCCCGGGGCUUAACCUCGGAAUUGCAUUUGAAACUGGCAGGCUAGAGUCUUGUAGAGGGGGGUAGGAAUUUCAGGUGUAGCGGUGAAAUGCGUAGAGAUCUGAAGGAAUACCAGUGGCGAAGGCGGCCCCCUGGACAAAGACUGACGCUCAGAUGCGAAAGCGUGGGGAGCAAACAGGAUUAGAUACCCUGGUAG
This 474-nucleotide ribosomal RNA is filed under the name uncultured bacterium. RNAcentral's name for it is "bacterial SSU rRNA". It matches the Rfam family "Bacterial small subunit ribosomal RNA", at positions 328 to 793 of the family's 1533-position model. The record is from RNAcentral.